UGCAGUCGAACGGUAGCAGGAAGUGCUUGCACUUCGCUGACGAGUGGCGGACGGGUGAGUAAUGCUUGGGAACUUGCCUUUAGGUGGGGGAUAACAGUUGGAAACGACUGCUAAUACCGCAUAAUGUCUACGGACCAAAGGGGGCUUCGGCUCCCGCCUUGAGAGAGGCCCAAGUGAGAUUAGCUAGUUGGUGGGGUAAAGGCCUACCAAGGCAACGAUCUCUAGCUGUUCUGAGAGGAAGAUCAGCCACACUGGGACUGAGACACGGCCCAGACUCCUACGGGAGGCAGCAGUGGGGAAUAUUGCACAAUGGGGGAAACCCUGAUGCAGCCAUGCCGCGUGUGUGAAGAAGGCCUUCGGGUUGUAAAGCACUUUCAGUUGUGAGGAAAGGUUGGUAGUUAAUACCUGCCAGCUGUGACGUUAACAACAGAAGAAGCACCGGCUAACUCCGUGCCAGCAGCCGCGGUAAUACGGAGGGUGCGAGCGUUAAUCGGAAUUACUGGGCGUAAAGCGCACGCAGGCGGCUUGUUAAGCUAGAGGUGAAAGCCCCGCGCUCAACGUGGGAACUGCCUUUAGAACUGGCAGGCUAGAGUCUUGGAGAGGGGAGUGGAAUUCCAGGUGUAGCGGUGAAAUGCGUAGAUAUCUGGAGGAACAUCAGUGGCGAAGGCGGCUCCCUGGCCAAAGACUGACGCUCAUGUGCGAAAGUGUGGGUAGCGAACAGGAUUAGAUACCCUGGUAGUCCACACCGUAAACGCUGUCUACUAGCUGUUUGUGUAUUUAAUGCGUGAGUA
This 791-nucleotide ribosomal RNA is filed under the name uncultured Alteromonas sp. RNAcentral describes it as "bacterial SSU rRNA". It matches the Rfam family "Bacterial small subunit ribosomal RNA", at positions 56 to 845 of the family's 1533-position model. Lineage: Bacteria; Pseudomonadati; Pseudomonadota; Gammaproteobacteria; Alteromonadales; Alteromonadaceae. The record is from RNAcentral.